UUAGUUACUAAGGUUUUAAUUGUGCUAUUUUUAGGUGAUUUGUGAAGUUGAGUUGGUUUACCUUGGUCGGUUGUGGAAUUUGCAGCGGGAGAUUUAGGUGAGUAAACCUCACCAAGGUUCACUUUUGAACCUAAGGAUAUUAUGGUUAUAUAAUGAUAAUGAUGGUGAUGUUGGUUUUAAUAUCAUGCUUUAAUUGUUUUUAAAAUUUCAUGAGCUUGAUCGCCAACGGCUCAUAGGUAAGAUAAAAACAAGUUUUCUUUAUAUUGUGAUGUUGAGAAUAAUGAUGUGAUUUAUAUAUUAUGUUGUUGAGAAUAAUAAUUGUGAUCUUGUGUUGUUGUGGAUAAUGUUGUGAAAAUUAUUGUGCUUGUUGGAUAAAUAGCCAAACCGGGUUCCAAGCCCUUUUUGGGUGAUUGGUUGCGGUUAGGAUGCUAUUUAUCAUUUUUGUAUUGAUAUUAGACAGUCAAACCGGGUUCCAAGCCUUUGGCUGGGUGAUUGGUUACGGUUAGGAAUAGAGCUCUAGUCCGUCUGUCAGUGUAGGUCAUGAGAGAUACUGUAUGGUAUCUGGGACCCAUGGGUACACAUAGUGUUGUGGUAGGUCAUGAGAGGUAUUUUAUUAAAUAUCUGGGACUCAUGGGUACAUCUCUUGGGUAAUGUGUUUGAUGUGUGGUUUGAAAUUAUUGAUCCAAUCUCUCUUGUGAAUAUUGGAUGUGAUAAAUGUUGUGUUGUUUUUUGAGUUUACUCAUACGAGCUUUUUAGCUUACCGGGUGUGUUGUUUACAACCCGGUGCACCAUUUCUUGGUGUAGGGGUUAGAUCUGCAGGUGAGGAUCAGCAGGGUUGAGAUGGAGGCGUAGUGGCAGGGUUUUAUGUUGAGUUUUGGGUGUGUCUUUGUAUAUUCUUUUAUAUACACGGGGAUAUGAAUUAUUAAACUCAUGUGAGCGUUUCCUUUCUUGUUCUCU
RNAcentral lists this long non-coding RNA (957 nucleotides) under Fragaria vesca (wild strawberry). Its description in RNAcentral is "long non-coding RNA (FVES_LNC004006)". The record is from RNAcentral. Lineage: Eukaryota; Viridiplantae; Streptophyta; Magnoliopsida; Rosales; Rosaceae.